This 293-nucleotide long non-coding RNA is filed under the name Ananas comosus (pineapple). RNAcentral describes it as "long non-coding RNA (ACOM_LNC020219)". The record is from RNAcentral. Lineage: Eukaryota; Viridiplantae; Streptophyta; Magnoliopsida; Poales; Bromeliaceae.
UUCGACAAAAAUUAAAUAUUAAAUAUUAAAUAAAUAAAUUUUAUUUUUUAUUUUUUAAAUUUAUUAAAAAAUAUGAUUUAAAAAAAUAUUUCAUUAAUUAUUUGGAUAUACAAUUUAUAUGAAAAUUAUACGUUUAUCAAUUAAAAUUUCGGCAUAAAAAAUUCAACCACUUAAAUUUUUUUCUAGAUUUAUGCUACUGAUAUAAAUAAUUAUAAUUCUUAAAAAUAUAAAAAUAAAUAGCUAUAAAAUAAAGUAGAUUAAGUAAAAAAAUAAUAACAAACUAAUUAUACACC